Molecule: ribosomal RNA, 395 nt
Filed under: uncultured cyanobacterium
Lineage: Bacteria; Bacillati; Cyanobacteriota
Description: bacterial SSU rRNA
Rfam family: Bacterial small subunit ribosomal RNA
Source: RNAcentral
AUGGGCGCAAGCCUGACGGAGCAAUACCGCGUGAGGGAGGAAGGUCCUUGGAUUGUAAACCUCUUUUAUCAGGGAAGAAAAAAAUGACGGUACCUGAUGAAUAAGCAUCGGCUAACUCCGUGCCAGCAGCCGCGGUAAUACGGAGGAUGCAAGCGUUAUCCGGAAUUAUUGGGCGUAAAGCGUCCGUAGGUGGUCAUGCAAGUCUGCCGUUAAAGAAUGGAGCUUAACUCCAUAGGAGCGGUGGAAACUGCAAGACUAGAGUACAGUAGGGGUAGCAGGAAUUCCCAGUGUAGCGGUGAAAUGCGUAGAUAUUGGGAAGAACAUCGGUGGCGAAAGCGUGCUACUGGGCUGAAACUGACACUGAGGGACGAAAGCUAGGGGAGCGAAAGGGAUUA